This 337-nucleotide long non-coding RNA is filed under the name Homo sapiens (human). RNAcentral's name for it is "HSALNT0354915". Lineage: Eukaryota; Metazoa; Chordata; Mammalia; Primates; Hominidae. The record is from RNAcentral.
GGGGACGGCGCCGGCCGGGAGUGGCCGCUUGGGAACCCCCGACUGUCGGCCGAGAGACAAGGUCUCACUAUAUGGCCCAGGCUGGUCUCAAACGAUCUUCAUGUCUUGGCCUCCCAAAGUGCUGAGAUUACAGGCAUGAGCCACCAUGCCUGGCCCAGGUUAUUCUUAAUCUCACCUUUUAGAGAAAGUGGAGAGCCCCGCCCUGUGGGCUUUAAAUCUUGUUCCACUUCAGACACUUUCACAGCUCUGACAUCAUGAAUACUGUAAUCACCCAGCACAGGAGGGACUGCGAUUCCCAGAACUCUGACAUCAACAGCCUGUGAGGACAGCAAGCUGG